RNAcentral lists this non-coding RNA (26 nucleotides) under Homo sapiens (human). Lineage: Eukaryota; Metazoa; Chordata; Mammalia; Primates; Hominidae. The record is from RNAcentral.
UGUGAGUGGCCGAGAGUUGCCCGUGC